UCGUGCUCGGCGGGAUCGGUACCGCGCUCCUGGUGUGGGCCGCGGUCGAGCGCGACCGGGCGCGGUUCCUGUCCGCGAGCGCGACC
Molecule: transfer RNA, 86 nt
Filed under: Gemmata sp. SH-PL17
Lineage: Bacteria; Pseudomonadati; Planctomycetota; Planctomycetia; Gemmatales; Gemmataceae
Description: tRNA-Thr
Source: RNAcentral